RNAcentral lists this ribosomal RNA (476 nucleotides) under uncultured bacterium. RNAcentral describes it as "bacterial SSU rRNA". It matches the Rfam family "Bacterial small subunit ribosomal RNA", at positions 335 to 800 of the family's 1533-position model. The record is from RNAcentral.
ACUCCUACGGGAGGCAGCAGUGGGGAAUAUUGCACAAUGGGCGCAAGCCUGAUGCAGCCAUGCCGCGUGUAUGAAGAAGGCCUUCGGGUUGUAAAGUACUUUCAGCAGUGAGGAAGGUGGAUGCGUUAAUAGCGUAUUCCAUUUGACGUUAGCUGCAGAAGAAGCACCGGCUAACUCCGUGCCAGCAGCCGCGGUAAUACGGAGGAUCCAAGCGUUAUCCGGAAUCAUUGGGUUUAAAGGGUCCGUAGGCGGUUUUAUAAGUCAGUGGUGAAAUCCGGCAGCUCAACUGUCGAACUGCCAUUGAUACUGUAGAACUUGAAUUAUUGUGAAGUAACUAGAAUAUGUAGUGUAGCGGUGAAAUGCUUAGAGAUUACAUGGAAUACCCAAUUGCGAAGGCAGGUUACUAACAAUAUAUUGACGCUGAUGGACGAAAGCGUGGGUAGCGAACAGGAUUAGAUACCCUGGUAGGAUAGCGU